AACGAACGCUGGCGGCAUGCCUAACACAUGCAAGUCGAACGAACCCUUCGGGGUUAGUGGCGCACGGGUGCGUAACACGUGGGAAUCUGCCCUUUGCUUCGGAAUAACAGUUAGAAAUGACUGCUAAUACCGGAUGAUGUCGUAAGACCAAAGAUUUAUCGGCAAAGGAUGAGCCCACGUAGGAUUAGGUAGUUGGUGGGGUAAAAGGCCUACCAAGCCGACGAUCCUUAGCUGGUCUGAGAGGAUGAUCAGCCACACUGGGACUGAGACACGGCCCAGACUCCUACGGGAGGCAGCAGUGGGGAAUAUUGGACAAUGGGCGAAAGCCUGAUCCAGCAAUGCCGCGUGAGUGAUGAAGGCCUUCGGGUUGUAAAGCUCUUUUACCAGGGAUGAUAAUGACAGUACCUGGAGAAUAAGCUCCGGCUAACUCCGUGCCAGCAGCCGCGGUAAU
RNAcentral lists this ribosomal RNA (451 nucleotides) under uncultured bacterium. RNAcentral describes it as "bacterial SSU rRNA". It matches the Rfam family "Bacterial small subunit ribosomal RNA", at positions 29 to 524 of the family's 1533-position model. The record is from RNAcentral.